AUACGGAAGGUGCAAGCGUUAAUCGGAAUCACUGGGCGGGGUAAAGCGCUCGUAGGUGGCUUUGUAAGUCAGGUGUGAAAGCCCACGGCUCAACCGUGGAAUUGCACUUGAUACUGCAUUGCUUGAGUUCGGGAGAGGGUAGUGGAAUUCCAGGUGUAGGAGUGAAAUCCGUAGAGAUCUGGAGGAACACCAGUGGCGAAGGCGACUACCUGGACCGAUACUGACACUGAGGAGCGAAAGCGUGGGGAGC
RNAcentral lists this ribosomal RNA (250 nucleotides) under uncultured bacterium. RNAcentral's name for it is "partial 16S ribosomal RNA". It matches the Rfam family "Bacterial small subunit ribosomal RNA", at positions 523 to 769 of the family's 1533-position model. The record is from RNAcentral.